AAUCCGAGAAUUUCACCUCUAGCGGCGCAAUACGAAUGCCCCCGGCCGUCCCUCUUAAUCAUGGCCUCAGUUCCGAAAACCAACAAAAUAGAACCGCGGUCCUAUUCCAUUAUUCCUAGCUGCGGUAUCCAGGCGGCUCGGGCCUGCUUUGAACACUCUAAUUUUUUCAAAGUAAACGCUUCGGGCCCCGCGGGACACUCAGCUAAGAGCAUCGAGGGGGCGCCGAGAGGCAAGGGGCGGGGACGGGCGGUGGCUCGCCUCGCGGCGGACCGCCCGCCCGCUCCCAAGAUCCAACUACGAGCUUUUUAACUGCAGCAACUUUAAUAUACGCUAUUGGAGCUGGAAUUACCGCU
RNAcentral lists this unclassified non-coding RNA (353 nucleotides) under uncultured bacterium. Its description in RNAcentral is "contains 16S-23S intergenic spacer region". The record is from RNAcentral.